This 253-nucleotide ribosomal RNA is filed under the name uncultured bacterium. Its description in RNAcentral is "partial 16S ribosomal RNA". It matches the Rfam family "Bacterial small subunit ribosomal RNA", at positions 524 to 776 of the family's 1533-position model. The record is from RNAcentral.
UACAGAGGGUGCGAGCGUUAAUCGGAAUUACUGGGCGUAAAGCGCACGUAGGCGGCUUGGUAUGUCGGGUGUGAAAUCCCCGGGCUCAACCUGGGAACUGCAUCUGUGACUGCAUUGCUGGAGUGCGGCAGAGGGGGAUGGAAUUCCGCGUGUAGCAGUGAAAUGCGUAGAUAUGCGGAGGAACACCGAUGGCGAAGGCAAUCCCCUGGGCCUGCACUGACGCUAAUGCACGCAAGCGUGGGGAGCAAACAGG